GCUCAACCGGGGAGGGUCAUUGGAAACUGGGGAACUUGAGUGCAGAAGAGGAGAGUGGAAUUCCACGUGUAGCGGUGAAAUGCGUAGAGAUGUGGAGGAACACCAGUGGCGAAGGCGACUCUCUGGUCUGUAACUGACGCUGAGGCGCGAAAGCGUGGGGAGCGAACAGGAUUAGAUACCCUGGUAGUCCACGCCGUAAACGAUGAGUGCUAAGUGUUAGAGGGUUUCCGCCCUUUAGUGCUGCAGCAAACGCAUUAAGCACUCCGCCUGGGGAGUACGGUCGCAAGACUGAAACUCAAAGGAAUUGACGGGGGCCCGCACAAGCGGUGGAGCAUGUGGUUUAAUUCGAAGCAACGCGAAGAACCUUACCAGGUCUUGACAUCCUCUGACAACCCUAGAGAUAGGGCUUCCCCUUCGGGGGCAGAGUGACAGGUGGUGCAUGGUUGUCGUCAGCUCGUGUCGUGAGAUGUUGGGUUGAGUCCCGCAACGAGCGCAACCCUUGAUCUUAGUUGCCAGCAUUCAGUUGGGCACUCUAAGGUGACUGCCGGUGAUAAACCGGAGGAAGGUGGGGAUGACGUCAAAUCAUCAUGCCCCUUAUGACCUGGGCUACACACGUGCUACAAUGGGCAGAACAAAG
This 637-nucleotide ribosomal RNA is filed under the name uncultured bacterium. RNAcentral's name for it is "bacterial SSU rRNA". It matches the Rfam family "Bacterial small subunit ribosomal RNA", at positions 607 to 1244 of the family's 1533-position model. The record is from RNAcentral.